Long non-coding RNA from Pundamilia nyererei, 477 nucleotides. RefSeq lists it as uncharacterized. The record is from RefSeq and is a predicted model, not a curated record. Lineage: Eukaryota; Metazoa; Chordata; Actinopteri; Cichliformes; Cichlidae. The transcript has 3 exons.
CAAAUGUAACAUCCAUUGUUAUGAAACUCGGAGAUGACGUCACUCUGCUUUGUCUGAAUGCGAUGGAUGACCAGAAUACCUGUAACAAUACAAUGUGGGCCUUUGCUUCAAGAAACAAACCAACAGCAGAGCUGUUCAGGUUUGGGGAAAUUGCAAUACAAGUUGGGGAAAAAACAAGCGCAACACUCUCUACUUCAUCAGUUGGUGGUUGAUCUCUCUCUUAUUACUUUGAAUGAACAUAAAGACAAUAGUAAGGCAAUUUUAAACUGCUCUGUGCUGCCAUAUGAAGAGUGUCAUCACACAGUGAAGUGGCUGAUUGACGGUCAAGAUGUGGACAAAGAUAACAAAGAAGUAUUGACCAUGCAGACUGACUGCUCCACCACUGUGUCUUUUCCAAAAUCCCAUGAAUUAUACUCAUUAAAAUAUAACUCAGUGAAAUGUGAAGUGACUGAUACUGGCACAGGAGAAGUGCAGCAG